Daphnia pulicaria is the source of this 1518-nucleotide long non-coding RNA. RefSeq lists it as uncharacterized. The transcript is spliced from 2 exons. The record is from RefSeq and is a predicted model, not a curated record. NCBI's taxonomy places the organism in Eukaryota, Metazoa, Arthropoda, Branchiopoda, Diplostraca, Daphniidae.
AUGCUUUCACGAUACUCUCUCUAAAGCUUUAAUUGAGUUAUCUUAGUGGUAAGUGCUCGAUAUCUGAGGAAGGCGGCUGUUGUUUUGGAAAGAGUUGCACGUAUGUUUUCCAAUCCUCGGGAAUUAUACACGCUUCCACUACUUUAAAUUUUUUCGUCCGUGCAUUCACAAAGAUAAUCUUGUAAAAUUUAACUUACAUACGUAAGUCGAGUCAAUUUUGCAGAUCCAUGACUUCAAGACGUCAAAAGAACGCAAUUAAAUGGUGCGAUUGAUGAAUGAUUCCAUUUAGGACUAAACACGGAUCUGCCCGAUUUCAUAACGAGAAUACUAAUCAAAGAAUGAAUUUUCUUACUUCAUUUUUAGAUUCCAUUGACACAAAGAAUGUAUGUCUAGAAGCUUAAAAAGAUUAUGUAAAAACGGUGCGCAUACUCAUACUAAUAAUAUAUUGCCCUAGCACGUCCCACCGCUCACUUGCACUUUGAAAGGGGCGUAAUUGGAUUUGAUUCCGUAUUGUGAGAACUUAAUGUUUAGAUGAGAAGGCGGUGAAGCCUGUACAAGGAUAUUAAUUGUUUACAUUACGAAUACACACAACAGAAACUAGCUGUAUAGUAGUCAUUACCAGUGGGUUUGGUCAGGCUGUUGGUAAUGUAUUUAAUAUUUCUGUAAAUUUUGUCUGCUGGGUGACCUACAUAACCUAAAGGGUCCGUUAUUCAGUUCAAAGAGUAAUCAAAUUGUUAAAAAAUGUACGCAUCUAUGUCUAAUGCGGUAAGAGCAGUCCAAACUGCGCAGUCGUAACUUUUAAACUGAAGCGAACCGCAAUAUAGCGAGAGGUGCUAAAAAGAUUUGCCGUUCUGAUUAAAUAAUUCCUAUCAAUUAUUGCUCUUCUUUCUGGGAUUUCUCAUUCACAAAAGAGAGACAUCAUUUAAGUUGUAAGAAAGGAUUAUCAUUAGGGUACCGUUCCCUCAUAAUUGGAUCAAUUAUAGUAAGGAUUGAUUUGACUCAAACACUUUUUCACGUUUCUUGCUAUUCAUACGUACCGAUCAAUUGCGCAUGUAAAACGAACCGUAUGUAGAGUUCUUUUCAGUACGUUUCCAUUUCGCUUGAAUAAUUUAAUAUCAAUAUGUUUCAGUACUAAGAUAAAAGAGAAAUUGUAUGGGUGUUAUGGAGAAAACAUUAUCCUGGAGACGAAAGAAGAUAUGCGGAAUCCAAUUUAGCGUUACGUAAAAUGUGUUUUUCUUUUUACGAUGGGCCUUAGAUGCGUGGAGCUUGAAUUACAUUAUCAACUUUAAAGGACUCUUAUAUAUAAAAUAUAAUACGUACCGGAACGGAUCACGACUUGAACACAGCCUUCAUGAUUUGAUUUUAUUGGAUUUCAUGCAGCCGUUCGUUUGUCACGUAUACCAUCCUUGUCAAUCUUCUAAGAUUUCUAGAGCGAUUUAUCCGCACAGGGAAUUAAGGAUGACGCUCUUUGAAUUUAUCUUUUUGAUGUCGAGUUAAUAAAAUGUAUGCUUUCCCAUU